Molecule: ribosomal RNA, 342 nt
Filed under: uncultured bacterium
Lineage: Bacteria
Description: bacterial SSU rRNA
Rfam family: Bacterial small subunit ribosomal RNA
Source: RNAcentral
AAUCAACGCUGGCGGCGUGCCUAACACAUGCAAGUCGAACGAGAAAGUGACUUCGGUCACUGGACAGUGGCGUCCGGGUGAGUAACACGUGGGUAAUCUACCUUCGGGUGGGGAAUAACGUCUCGAAAGAGACGCUAAUACCGCAUAAUGCAGCGGCACCUUAUGGUGAAUAGUUGUUAAAGCGGGGAGUCGCAAGACCUCGCGCCUGAAGAGGAGCCUGCGGCAGAUUAGCUAGUUGGUGAGGUAAUGGCUCACCAAGGCUGCGAUCUGUAGCUGGUCUGAGAGGACGGCCAGCCACACUGGCACUGACACACGGGCCAGACUCCUACGGGAGGCAGCAGU